Molecule: non-coding RNA, 1035 nt
Organism: Dermacentor albipictus
Lineage: Eukaryota; Metazoa; Arthropoda; Arachnida; Ixodida; Ixodidae
Source: RefSeq, a predicted model, not a curated record
ACGCCACGUAAUAUAAAUAUUUGAAAGGAAAGAGCAUAAAGUGGAGAAAUGCAAGGACAUCAAUUUGAAUGAUGCCCGGUUUGCUACCUGACACUACGGGAAGACGGUCAUGGCCGGGAAAGAACGGAGAGAACGUUUAAAGGGCAACUCCAACGAUUUUUUUAUAUCCACUGAUCUCAAUAUAAUUUUGAACAUAUGUUCUCUUCGUUACUCUGAUUAUCAGUGCUAAACAAUGCGACCACAAGGCACUUAGUUUCCCUGAUAUUGAGUUUUUAAGAUUGGUUGCAUGUUCCCAACUCAUUCCCAUGAAUAUAACUUUUUACUGGCCGCCCUGUUCUUGUGACGUUCGAACCUACAGCGCCGCUCGCGCAGCAGACUACGAAGCGCGUUCCUUCUUCUGCGGGACGGCAGCCUACAAUCAUCGUUUUGACAGACGCUCGUUGCUGCAAGCAUUCUUCUUCGGUUUGUAGGCAUUCUAGGCGAUAAAGCGAUUGGUGGAAGCUGGUGUUGUGCUGACGGUUACACGAACACAGCAGCGAAGACGAAGGGUGUCUGUUAUGACAGGUUUCCUUCCAACAGCGCUCUUCGGAAGAAGUGGCUUUGUGCUAUUUGGGUCGCCGACAGGUUCUCAAGCAAAAACGUGUCUGUUUGAUCGGAUCACUUCACCCGGAGGGCUAUAAAGGCUGCGUGUACAUGGGGAAAGCUUUUGGACUCGCAACGCCAAACUACCAUAUGUACUUGAAGGAAGGCGCUGUGUCGACGGAGUUCAUGUACACUAAGCCCAGCCAGCCUCUAAUACCACGAGGUACAGCGGUCAAGCGGAAAUGAACUGAGGGGUCCAGGUCAAUGCAGUGUUUGUUCAGGACAGCAGCAUCCAAACAAGUGACAUGCUAGCAGAUGUUUCCGAGUCACCUCAAGAGCAACAUCUGUGUUUGACAUCAAACAGAACAUCUAUGCACCACCUUUCGAUGCGAACGGGCGUGGCUACCUUCGUGAUAUCCCGUGUGCCUCUGAUGAAUUGGACCUUGAUGAGGA